Molecule: small nuclear RNA, 162 nt
Organism: Erpetoichthys calabaricus (reedfish)
Lineage: Eukaryota; Metazoa; Chordata; Cladistia; Polypteriformes; Polypteridae
Product: U1 spliceosomal RNA
Exons: 1
Source: RefSeq, a predicted model, not a curated record
AUACUUACCUGGUAGGGGAGAUACCAUGAUCACUAAGGUGGUUCUCCCAGGGCGAGGCUCAUCCAUUGCACUCCGGGUGUGCUGACCCCUGCGAUUUCCCCAAAUGCGGGAAAUGCUGUUGGCAUUGCUGCAGUGAAGGGUGACUGACUUGGCAUUGCCAUC